GUGCCAGCAGCCUGCGGUAAUUCCAGCUCCAAUAGCGUAUAUUAAAGUUGUUGUGGUUAAAAAGCUCGUAGUUGAACCUUGGGCCUGGCUGGCCGGUCCGCCUCACCGCGUGCACUGGUCCGGCCGGGCCUUUCCCUCUGUGGAACCCCAUACCCUUCACUGGGCGUGGCGGGGAAACAGGACAUUUACUUUGAAAAAAUUAGAGUGCUCCAGGCAGGCCUAUGCUCGAAUACAUUAGCAUGGAAUAAUAAAAUAGGACGCGCGGUUCUAUUUUGUUGGUUUAUAGGACCGCCGUAAUGAUUAAUAGGGACAGUCGGGGGCAUCAGUAUUCAACUGUCAGAGGUGAAAUUCUUGGAUCAGUUGAAGACUAACUACUGCGAAAGCUUUUGCCAAGGAUGUUUUCAUUAAUCAGGAACGAAAGUUAGGGGAUCGAAGACGAUCAGAUACCGUCGUAGUCUUAACCAUAAACUAUGCCGACUAGGGAUCGGACGGUGUUAUUCAUGACCCGUUCGGCACCUUACGAGAAAUCAAAGUGCUUGGGCUCCAGGGGGAGUAUGGUCGCAAGGCUGAAACUUAAAGAAAUUGACGGAAGGGCACCACCAGGGUGGAGCCUGCGGCUUUAAUUUGACUCAACACGGGGAAACUCACCAGGUCCAGACACAAUAAGGGAUUGACCGAUUGAGAGCUCUUUCUUGAUUUUGUGGGUGGUGGUGCAUGGCCGUUCUUAGUUGGUGGGGUGACUUGUCUGCUUAAUUGCGAUAACGAACGAGACCUUAACCUGCUAAAUAGCCCGCAUUGCUCCGGCAGUGCGCUUGCCUUCUUAGAG
RNAcentral lists this ribosomal RNA (826 nucleotides) under uncultured fungus. RNAcentral's name for it is "SSU rRNA". It matches the Rfam family "Eukaryotic small subunit ribosomal RNA", at positions 564 to 1416 of the family's 1831-position model. The record is from RNAcentral. Lineage: Eukaryota; Fungi.